This 21-nucleotide non-coding RNA is filed under the name Caenorhabditis elegans. The record is from RNAcentral. Lineage: Eukaryota; Metazoa; Nematoda; Chromadorea; Rhabditida; Rhabditidae.
GAAGAACUAUCAAAACAAUAA